UACGUAGGGGGCUAGCGUUGUCCGGAAUCAUUGGGCGUAAAGCGCGUGUAGGCGGCCCGAUAAGUCCGCUGUGAAAGUCCAGGGCUCAACCCUGGGAUGCCGGUGGAUACUGUCGGGCUCGAGUCCGGAAGAGGCGAGUGGAAUUCCUGGUGUAGCGGUGAAAUGCGCAGAUAUCAGGAGGAACACCAAUGGCGAAGGCAGCUCGCUGGGACGUUACUGACGCUGAGACGCGAAAGCGUGGGGAGCAAACAGG
This 253-nucleotide ribosomal RNA is filed under the name uncultured bacterium. RNAcentral's name for it is "partial 16S ribosomal RNA". It matches the Rfam family "Bacterial small subunit ribosomal RNA", at positions 524 to 776 of the family's 1533-position model. The record is from RNAcentral.